CCGAAUCCCCUAUUCCUUAUUUCCCCUAUCACUCAGGCACUGGCAGGGUCCUUUGCCCACUCCUGUUGGCCGCUGCGGCUCCAAAGCGAGCUGGGCAGAUGUGCCUGACACAGGUUUGACCAGGCAACUGAAAAGACAUCUCUAAGAGAAGACAAAGCAAAGGUAUGAAAGGAACACACGUCCCUGACUGACUAGGAGGAACAGAGCUGCCUGCUAUCUGGAACAACUUCCUCCCAGACUAACUGUGAGUCAAACAGAAUCUGCCAACCUCUGGGCGGUG
RNAcentral lists this long non-coding RNA (280 nucleotides) under Homo sapiens (human). Its description in RNAcentral is "HSALNT0352130". Lineage: Eukaryota; Metazoa; Chordata; Mammalia; Primates; Hominidae. The record is from RNAcentral.